RNAcentral lists this ribosomal RNA (468 nucleotides) under uncultured bacterium. Its description in RNAcentral is "partial 16S ribosomal RNA". It matches the Rfam family "Bacterial small subunit ribosomal RNA", at positions 28 to 507 of the family's 1533-position model. The record is from RNAcentral.
GAUGAACGCUGGCGGCGUGCUUAAUACAUGCCAGUCGAACGGAAAGGCCCUGAUCUUGUGGGGUGCUCGAGUGGCGAACGGGUGAGUAAAACGCGAGUAUCCUGCCCUUGUCUUUGGGAUAACUUCAGGAAACUGGGGCUAAUAUCGGAUAGGAGCUCCUGCUGCAUGGUGGGGGUUGGAAAGUUCCGGCGGUUGGGGCUGGACUGGAGGCUUACCAGCUUGUUGGUGGGGUAGUGGCUUACCAAGGCUUUGACGGGUAGCCGGCCUGAGAGGGUGACCGGCGACAUGGGGACUGAGAGACGGCCCAGACUCCAACGGGAGGCAGCAGGGGGGAAUAUUGCACAAUGGGCGGGAGCCUGAUGCAGCAACGCCGCGUGCGGAAUGACGGCCUUCGGGUUGUAAACCGCUUUCGCCUGUAACGAAGCGUGAGUGACGGUAAUGGGUAAAGAAGCACCGGCUAACUACGUG